This 494-nucleotide ribosomal RNA is filed under the name Mytilaster minimus. RNAcentral describes it as "partial 16S ribosomal RNA". It matches the Rfam family "Bacterial large subunit ribosomal RNA", at positions 1830 to 2597 of the family's 2925-position model. Lineage: Eukaryota; Metazoa; Mollusca; Bivalvia; Mytilida; Mytilidae. The record is from RNAcentral.
CUCUCCUGGCUUUAUAUCGGGGGUAGGCCCUGCCCGGUGCUGCAGAAGCAGUAAACGGCGGCCUUAGCGUGAGGGUCCUAAGGUAGCAUGGUAAGUCGGCCUUUAAUUGGGGUCUGGUAUGAAUGGGUUGACGUCGGGUAAGCUGUCUCGCAAAGUAUUUUCUAAAUUAACUUUAAGGUGAAGAGGCCUUAAUAAUAAAAAAAGACGACAAGACCCUAUGAAGCUUCAUCAUAUUGGCUUACAGGUGUUCAGGCACCUGUGGGUUUUUUCGAAUUUGGUGGGAAGCCCAUGGCGAGAAUGUGUUGCCAGUUUAAUAAUUUACUGACAAGUAAAAAGCAUUACAUGAUCAGAACGGUAAGUUACUCUAGGGAUAACAGCGCGAUCUUCUUCGAUAGAACAUAUUGGAAAGAGGGUUUGCGACCUCGAUGUUGGCUUUAGGUUACCUAGAGGUGUAGAGGCUUCUAAGUGUGGGUCUGUUCGACCUUUAAUUCCUA